RNAcentral lists this unclassified non-coding RNA (236 nucleotides) under Dothideomycetes sp. Its description in RNAcentral is "partial contains 5.8S ribosomal RNA, internal transcribed spacer 2, and large subunit ribosomal RNA". Lineage: Eukaryota; Fungi; Ascomycota; Dothideomycetes. The record is from RNAcentral.
CGCACAUUGCGCCCUUUGGUAUUCCGAGGGGCACGCCUGUUCGAGCGUCAUUUAAACAAUCAAGCUUAGCUUGGUCUUGGGCGCGGUCGAGUGACCCGUCCGCAACCCGUUGGCGGUGCAGUCCGGCUUCAAGCGUAGCAGUAAUUUCGCUUCAGGAGUCCGCGGCGGUGCCCGCCAGGCAAUGGCCACUUCUAAAGUUUGACCUCGGAUCAGGUGGGGAUACCCGCUGAACUUAA